UACGAAGGGGGCUAGCGUUGCUCGGAAUCACUGGGCGUAAGGGCGCGUAGGCGGCCAUUCAAGGCAGGGGUGAAAGCCUGUGGCUCAACCACAGAAUUGCCUUUGAUACUGUUUGGCUAGAGACCGGAAGAGGUAAGUGGAACCGCGAGUGUAGAGGUGAAAUUCGUAGAUAUUCGCAAGAACACCAGUGGCGAAGGCGGCUUACUGGUCCGGUUCUGACGCUGAGGCGCGAAAGCGUGGGGAGCAAACAGG
Molecule: ribosomal RNA, 252 nt
Filed under: uncultured bacterium
Lineage: Bacteria
Description: partial 16S ribosomal RNA
Rfam family: Bacterial small subunit ribosomal RNA
Source: RNAcentral